Molecule: ribosomal RNA, 588 nt
Filed under: Triticum aestivum (bread wheat)
Lineage: Eukaryota; Viridiplantae; Streptophyta; Magnoliopsida; Poales; Poaceae
Description: partial small subunit ribosomal RNA
Source: RNAcentral
AUGGCGGCUGAAGUGAGUUCCUCUUCUGCGGGAUGGAAGGGGAAGGAUUUGGAAGAGAUGCUGCAACAUCUGGAUCUUCAGGAUGAUGAGUUGGAUGACGUGGUUGUUGGAGAGGAGGAUUUGAGAAAGUACGAGGCAGAUGCAAGGUGGCUAGCAAUUGGGAAGGUGAACACGACCAGGCAAUUUAGCUCAUCGUCGAUGUUUGAAACUAUGGAGUCAAUAUGGGGGCUAGCGCAUGUCCCCAAGUACAGAGAGGCUGGUGAGAACCUCUACAUCUUCCAGAUGUUUUGCUUAGGGGAUUGGAAGAAGGUUGUUCAUGGAGGACCUUGGUUGUUUAGAGGGAUGGGGAUGCUUAUUGAAGACUAUGAUGGCAAACAGGAGCCAACGUCCUAUGUGUUUGACGGCCUAUACGUUUGGGCUCAGAUUCACAACAUACCAGAGCUAUACAGGAAGGCGGAGGUAGUGGAUCAAUUAGCAAGACGCAUUGGUCGGGUCAAGGAAACUCAGCUCUCCCCGAGGCUAUUUUACGAAGGAGACUAUGUCAGAGUGCAUGCAAGGGUUCUGGUGAAUAAGCCUCUAACUAGGGUG